GCCAGACUCCUACGGGAGGCAGCAGUGGGGAAUAUUGGACAAUGGGGGGAACCCUGAUGCAGCGACGCCGCGUGGGUGAAGAAGCGCCUCGGCGCGUAAAGCCCUGUCAGCAGGGAAGAAAAUGACAGUACCUGACUAAGAAGCCCCGGCUAACUACGUGCCAGCAGCCGCGGUAAUACGUAGGGGGCAAGCGUUAUCCGGAUUUACUGGGUGUAAAGGGAGCGUAGGCGGCCACGCAAGUCAGGAGUGAAAACCCGGGGCUCAACCCUGGGAGUGCUUUUGAAACUGUGCGGCUAGAGUGUCGGAGGGGUAAGUGGAAUUCCUGGUGUAGCGGUGAAAUGCGUAGAUAUUAGGAGGAACACCAGUGGCGAAGGCGGCCUGCUGGACGGUAACUGACGCUGAGGCUCGAAAGCGUGGGGAGCAAACAGGAUUAGAUACCCGAGUA
This 445-nucleotide ribosomal RNA is filed under the name uncultured bacterium. Its description in RNAcentral is "partial 16S ribosomal RNA". It matches the Rfam family "Bacterial small subunit ribosomal RNA", at positions 330 to 792 of the family's 1533-position model. The record is from RNAcentral.